UCCUACGGGGAGGCAGCAGUAGGGAAUCUUCGGCAAUGGGGGGAACCCUGACCGAGCAACGCCGCGUGAGUGAAGAAGGUUUUCGGAUCGUAAAGCUCUGUUGUUAAGGAAGAACGAGUGUGAAAAUGGAAAGUUCAUACUGUGACGGUACUUAACCAGAAAGGGACGGCUAACUACGUGCCAGCAGCCGCGGUAAUACGUAGGUCCCGAGCGUUGUCCGGAUUUAUUGGGCGUAAAGCGAGCGCAGGCGGUUAGAAAAGUCUGAAGUGAAAGGCAGUGGCUCAACCAUUGUAGGCUUUGGAAACUGUUUAACUUGAGUGCAGAAGGGGAGAGUGGAAUUCCAUGUGUAGCGGUGAAAUGCGUAGAUAUAUGGAGGAACACCGGUGGCGAAAGCGGCUCUCUGGUCUGUAACUGACGCUGAGGCUCGAAAGCGUGGGGAGCGAACAGGAUUAGAUACCCUGGUAGUCC
Molecule: ribosomal RNA, 468 nt
Filed under: Streptococcus anginosus
Lineage: Bacteria; Bacillati; Bacillota; Bacilli; Lactobacillales; Streptococcaceae
Description: bacterial SSU rRNA
Rfam family: Bacterial small subunit ribosomal RNA
Source: RNAcentral